RNAcentral lists this non-coding RNA (23 nucleotides) under Arabidopsis thaliana (thale cress). The record is from RNAcentral. Lineage: Eukaryota; Viridiplantae; Streptophyta; Magnoliopsida; Brassicales; Brassicaceae.
GGGCCGGCGAUGCGUCCUGGUCG